RNAcentral lists this long non-coding RNA (361 nucleotides) under Salvia miltiorrhiza (redroot sage). RNAcentral's name for it is "long non-coding RNA (SMIL_LNC002502)". Lineage: Eukaryota; Viridiplantae; Streptophyta; Magnoliopsida; Lamiales; Lamiaceae. The record is from RNAcentral.
UUGGACCAUCGUGAUCAAACCCGUUUUCAGCUCAAAGUUGUUGACGUUCACUCGUGGGGGCUCCUGGUACACAUACUGUGGAAUGAACGCUUCAUUGAUGGCUGGUUGUUUCUGAGCCUCUCUCAUCUCCUGUGCAUCAAGCAGCUUCUUCAACUGCUCUUGCAGAGCUCGAAUUUGGAUUUGCUCAGGAGUAGCCAUCGUAUCUGUCUCAAAUAAAAACAAAAAUAAAAAAAAAAAACUGCAACUAAAGAAUAAAACCUAUAGUACUGUAGCAUCCUAUCGAAAAUAUUAAAGCAACUUCUUAACAGUCCCCGGCAACGGCGCCAAAAAGUUGAUCACUAAUUUCUUAGCAACAAAUACC